CCUACGGGUGGCAGCAGUGGGGAAUAUUGCACAAUGGGGGGAACCCUGAUGCAGCGACGCCGCGUGGGUGAAGGAGUAUUUCGGUAUAUAAAGCCCUAUCAGCAGGGAAGAACAAUGACGGUCCCUUACUAAGAAGCACCGGCUAAAUACGUGCCAGCAGCCGCGGGACUACGUAGGGUGCAAGCGUUAUCCGGAUGUACUGGGUGUAAAGGGCGUGCAGGCGGCGCGUUAAGCCUGGCGUGAAAGCCCGCGGCCCAACCGCAGAACUGCAUUUGGAACUGGCGCGCUGGAGUGCCGGAGGGGUAUGCGGAAUGCCUGGUGUAGCGGUGAAAUGCGUAGAUAUUAGGAGGAACACCAGUGGCGAAGGCGGCCUACUGGACGGUGACUGACGCUGAGGCUCGAAAGCGUGGGGAGCAAACAGGAUUAGAUACCCCUGUAGUC
RNAcentral lists this ribosomal RNA (441 nucleotides) under uncultured bacterium. RNAcentral's name for it is "partial 16S ribosomal RNA". It matches the Rfam family "Bacterial small subunit ribosomal RNA", at positions 338 to 795 of the family's 1533-position model. The record is from RNAcentral.